This 1283-nucleotide long non-coding RNA is filed under the name Danio rerio (zebrafish). RNAcentral's name for it is "si:dkey-88l16.5, transcript variant 2 (si:dkey-88l16.5)". Lineage: Eukaryota; Metazoa; Chordata; Actinopteri; Cypriniformes; Danionidae. The record is from RNAcentral.
AGCAGGUUUUGGGUUAAUUAACCGAGAGUUCAGAGUUUAGCAUAUGGUAAAUUAACCCAGCUUUCUGGAAUACAACCUAGAGCUCACUGUUUAUCGACGGCCGCAUGGCGCGCAUUCAAACACAUACACACAACCAACAGUGAUUUAAUUGCUGUUACUGCUGCUAUAUUUACCUGUCCCUAUUUGUUCUGUCAGCUAAAGUGGUACAGAACAGCAGGAGUCCGGUUUCUCUGAGUUUACCCGUGCUGUGGUAAAAGGGUGGGUCUGUUUUCUGCUUGGGCUUUCUUCAGCUCUCUUUACUCAUUUGUAUACAUUUGUGUAUUGUAAGCUGGGGACCUACAUUUUUGCAUUCCAGUUUUGGUUUUGACUGUUUUCCACCUUUGACUUUGGCAAAAUUUUCAGCAUGUCUGUACCUGCCAUGAGUCCGCUGGAUAAAGAUAGCAAUGCGUCUCGACAACCGGAUGCAUGUGCUGAUGUCACAUGUCAGUUUGGCAGCUGUGUGUUGGUGCAUGAUGAGCCUGUAUGUGAGUGUAUGCUGGGAUAUACUGGGGAAACCUGUCAGGAAACAGUCAAUGAGACUCUGGUUGUCCCUCUCACUCUCGGCGUCCUGACUGUCACCAUUUUCUGCAUUGUCCUGUUAUUUUCCAUUGCAAUUUUCUGUCAAAAGCUAAAGGCAAAAAAGAGAAAGAAGGCGGCUGAACAAGCUUUGUUAAGAAAUAGAGAGUGUCAUUGACAUGUCUUAAUGCGUCAUUCCAGAGAAAAGUACAGACAACACAUCUCUUACACGCUACAUGAAAGAACAUUCUAGCAUUACAUUUAAAUUUAUAUUCAUUGUGCAUGAAUUAGAGCUGUGCUGUUGUUAGAAGAAUAGAAGUGUCACUGAAUGUACUCCACAAAAAGUAUUUUAGGUCAAAAAGUGCAUAAAGUUCACAAGAUUUUUUUGGAUUAUUUUUCUCCUGUACUUGCGGGGGCCAUACAUGUGCAUUCAAAUAAAAGAAACUAGUUGCUGAGACAUGCCAAGCAUUUCAGUGCUAUUGUGGAUUUAGAUUAAGGUCAUGCGUGACAGGAGAGUCUGAAUGACUGAAAGCAGAUGAGAUUCGUAGACUGAUGGAUCAGUAUUUUUCUUUGACGUGUUCAUGAUAUACAGUCACACUAUUCUCAAGGCCCUCUGUUGCUUUUAAUUUUGUAAUUACACAACUGUUUACUGUGCAUGAUAUAUUUAUAUUAACAUUACAAGCUUUCUGUACAGUAUUUUCUAAUAAAGAUUUGUUUAUGACUGCUAA